Molecule: non-coding RNA, 109 nt
Organism: Gossypium raimondii (Peruvian cotton)
Lineage: Eukaryota; Viridiplantae; Streptophyta; Magnoliopsida; Malvales; Malvaceae
Source: Rfam
AAUCCGUGGUGUGGGCACUUCAUUAGUAUUGACUUGAAAUGUUCCCAUGCUUCGUAUAGGGAUUCACCUUCGUAUUAUUUAAAAUUGGCGAUUUCUCGCUAUAGAAAAU